UAGGGGGCAUAGAUAGUGUUUCUGACAAACACAUCUCUUUUUUUUAUGUAAGUUAAAGUCACAUUGUAUCAUACAAUUGGUCAACUAUAUUUAUGUGCUUUUUAACACUAUUUAUUAUUAAAAUGUCAAUAUUUUCAUUCUGCCAUUUCAAGUAUUUAAAAUAUUUAAAAACUUAAUUUUUUAAGGAACCACUAUGAAUAUGAAUUCUCAACUUAACAUCAACAGGCCCCAAUAACUUUGAAAUUUCUUUCUUGCGAUUGGUCUCGUGCUGAAAUUAAGUCAAAUUUGGAAUUGAUGUUGCAUUUAAGCUGUGACUUUGAUUCCUGAUUGCUCCUAUCAAGACUUUAGUUGAUACAGUCUCUGGGCAAUCAUUUCUCUUCAAACUGCUGAAAAAAAAUAAUCUCGCCAUGGCGUAGUGAAUAUGGUUAUUGCUUAGGGACUGGGAGGUCAUGGGUUUGAUCCCUAAUGUAGGAGCGUUCUUUAGAUCUCUCCCAUAGACAUCAAGUACUGGUUCUACCCAGGUAACAAACUAAAAGCUUUUCAAUAAGCAUUAGGCGUUUGAUGCAAUGGAUCUCAAAUAAAUAGGUUAAUUUAACAUUCUUUUGUUUUUCUCUGAAGCAUGACUCAACGGUAGCAGCAUUAGGUUUAACGUUCUUUUGUUUUGCUCUGAAGCAUGACACAAAGGUAGCAGCGUUAGGUUUAACGUUCUUUUGUUUUGCUCUGAAGCAUGACACAAAGGUAGCAGCGUUAGGUUUAACGUUCUUUUGUUUUGCUCUGAAGCAUGACUCAACAGUAGCAGCAUUAGGUUUAACGUUCUUUUGUUUUGCUCUGAAGCAUGACACAAAGGUAGCAGCGU
Dreissena polymorpha is the source of this 856-nucleotide long non-coding RNA. RefSeq lists it as uncharacterized. The record is from RefSeq and is a predicted model, not a curated record. Lineage: Eukaryota; Metazoa; Mollusca; Bivalvia; Myida; Dreissenidae. The transcript has 3 exons.